GCCUCUGAAUUUUAUAAGAGUCCAGCCUGCCCAGUGACCAUAGUUCAACGGCCGCGGUAUCCUGACCGUGCGAAGGUAGCGUAAUCACUUGUUCUUUAAAUGGGGACUAGUAUGAAUGGCAUCACGAGGGUUAUACUGUCUCCUUUUUCCAAUCAGUGAAACUAAUCUCCCCGUGAAGAAGCGGGGAUAAAACCAUAAGACGAGAAGACCCUAUGGAGCUUUAAAUUUCUCUUUAAGCGCCGGUCUAUUUACCAAGUCCCAGACCCCUUUACAUUAACCCCCGCGCCAUGAAGACGACUUUUAGGUUGGGGUGACCGCGGAGUACAAAAGAACCUCCACGUUGAACCAGGCCCCCAGGCCCUGAGCAAAGGACCACAACCCGAUGCACUAAAAAACUAACAUCCAUUGACCCAAUAUUUUUGAUCAACGAACCAAGUUACCCUAGGGAUAACAGCGCAAUCUACUUUAAGAGUCCAUAUCGACAAGUGGGUUUACGAYCUCGAUGUUGGAUCAGGUAUCYCAGUGGUGCAGCYGCUACUAACGGUUCGUUUGUUCACGAUUAAAA
RNAcentral lists this ribosomal RNA (565 nucleotides) under Scinax squalirostris (striped snouted treefrog). RNAcentral describes it as "partial large subunit ribosomal RNA". It matches the Rfam family "Bacterial large subunit ribosomal RNA", at positions 1833 to 2593 of the family's 2925-position model. Lineage: Eukaryota; Metazoa; Chordata; Amphibia; Anura; Hylidae. The record is from RNAcentral.